Molecule: non-coding RNA, 876 nt
Organism: Phascolarctos cinereus (koala)
Lineage: Eukaryota; Metazoa; Chordata; Mammalia; Diprotodontia; Phascolarctidae
Source: RefSeq, a predicted model, not a curated record
GUUGGCAGCCUGAUGGACUAAUUAUUAUCAGAGUUUGUUCUGAUCCUUGGACUCCCUAGAUAGAGCUUUUGUGUGCUGAAUGGUGAGGCUGAUACUAAAACGAGUAAGACACUGGCCCUGCUCUCUCCAGGAAGCUCACAACCUGAGAAGUUAUGUUGGGGAGGAGAGGCUGUAAUCCGGAUUCCUCCAUCAUGAAAACUCUUCAUCCUGGGAGAUUUGCUUCGCCCUGGAAUUCACACCUCAGAAGUACCCUUAGCCCUUGGGGCCUCUGACUCUGAUUGGGCAGCUUCUCCCAGAACCUUUGUUUAAGGAGGGUGUCCUGGUUGGCUGCAGUCUGGAUUUUUCCACCAAGUCCUCCUGAGCAAAGAGCCCCUGAGGUGGGGGGAGACAAGGAAGCUUACUUCAGACAAGUCAAAACACUACCACCUUGACCACCAUCUCCCUUCAGAAACCGUUGGAGACAAUCCCAGGAGCCUUAGGAAUAGUAGCGCUUGUGGCCUAGUGUCCACAGUUAUCAUCCUGGGAAGGAAUCCCUAUGGAGAUGCAGCUUGGUAACUGCUCCUUUGGGGGCUACAGAUGAAGCUGUCAAAGACCCAAAAGAAAAAGUUCUUGGCACUGCCGAAUGGCUCAACAUCAGAAAUGGAUACAAUUUUAUGAGUGCAAUUGAUGUGAAAGACAAACCUUAAAUUCAUUCAUUUAUUACCAUGUUGUCAGACUCCGGAAUUUUUACACAUUGUAUUUAUUCAUACAUUUUGCUUUUUAUUUUAUUCGAUAUACAUCUUUUUUUUUUAAAUUUAACUUUCAUGAAAAAAUGUUGGUUAAAUGUUUUAUACACAUCAAUAAAGUCACUGUUGUCCUGUAGCACUGUAACUGAAA